UCCGAGUUGACCCCGGCAGUCUCCCAUGAGUCCCCGCCAUUACGCGCUGGCAACAUGGAACGAGGGUUGCGCUCGUUGCGGGACUUAACCCAACAUCUCACGACACGAGCUGACGACAACCAUGCACCACCUGUGAACCGGCCCCGAAGGACACCGUAUCUCUACGGCUUUUCCCUGCAUGUCAAGCCCAGGUAAGGUUCUUCGCGUUGCUUCGAAUUAAUCCACAUGCUCCGCCGCUUGUGCGGGCCCCCGUCAAUUCCUUUGAGUUUUAGCCUUGCGGCCGUACUCCCCAGGCGGGGCGCUUAAUGCGUUAGCUACGGCGCAGGAAACCGGAGAGGCCCCCCACACCUAGCGCCCAACGUUUACAGCGUGGACUAC
RNAcentral lists this unclassified non-coding RNA (378 nucleotides) under uncultured Actinomycetes bacterium. RNAcentral's name for it is "uncultured actinobacterium contains 16S-23S intergenic spacer region". The record is from RNAcentral. Lineage: Bacteria; Bacillati; Actinomycetota; Actinomycetes.